UCGUGUCGUGAGAUGUUGGGUUAAGUCCCGCAACGAGCGCAAACCCCUAUUGUUAGUUGCCAUCAUUCAGUUGGGCACUCUAGCGAGACUGCCGGUAAUAAACCGGAGAAGUGGGGAUGACGUCAAAUCAUCAUGCCCCUUAUGACCUGGGCUACACACGUGCUACAAUGGUUGGUACAACGAGUUGCGAGUCGGUGACGGCGAGCUAAUCUCUUAAAGCCAAUCUCAGUUCGGAUUGUAGGCUGCAACUCGCCUACAUGAAGUCGGAAUCGCUAGUAAUCGCGGAUCAGCACGCCGCGGUGAAUACGUUCCCGGGCCUU
RNAcentral lists this ribosomal RNA (320 nucleotides) under uncultured Streptococcus sp. Its description in RNAcentral is "bacterial SSU rRNA". It matches the Rfam family "Bacterial small subunit ribosomal RNA", at positions 1060 to 1382 of the family's 1533-position model. The record is from RNAcentral. Lineage: Bacteria; Bacillati; Bacillota; Bacilli; Lactobacillales; Streptococcaceae.